AAUGACUCUCGGCAACGGAUAUCUCGGCUCUCGCAUCGAUGAAGAACGUAGCGAAAUGCGAUACUUGGUGUGAAUUGCAGAAUCCCGUGAACCAUCGAGUCUUUGAACGCAAGUUGCGCCUGAAGCCAUUAGGUUGAGGGCACGUCUGGCUGGGUGUCACACAAUG
RNAcentral lists this ribosomal RNA (166 nucleotides) under Colophospermum mopane (mopane). RNAcentral describes it as "5.8S ribosomal RNA". It matches the Rfam family "5.8S ribosomal RNA". From Rfam's summary of the family: 5.8S ribosomal RNA (5.8S rRNA) is a component of the large subunit of the eukaryotic ribosome. The record is from RNAcentral. Lineage: Eukaryota; Viridiplantae; Streptophyta; Magnoliopsida; Fabales; Fabaceae.